RNAcentral lists this ribosomal RNA (253 nucleotides) under uncultured bacterium. Its description in RNAcentral is "partial 16S ribosomal RNA". It matches the Rfam family "Bacterial small subunit ribosomal RNA", at positions 524 to 776 of the family's 1533-position model. The record is from RNAcentral.
UACGUAGGUGGCAAGCGUUGUCCGGAUUUACUGGGCGUAAAGGGCGUGCAGGCGGUCUGUUAAGUGCAGGGUGAAAGCUCCCGGCUCAACUGGGAGAGGUCCUUGCAUACUGUCGAUCUCGAGUCCGGGAGAGGUGAGUGGAACUGCGAGUGUAGAGGUGAAAUUCGUAGAUAUUCGCAAGAACACCAGUGGCGAAGGCGGCUCACUGGCCCGGUACUGACGCUGAGGUGCGAAAGCGUGGGGAGCAAACAGG